GACGAACGCUGGCGGCGCGCCUAACACAUGCAAGUCGAACGAGCGAGCGAGAGCUUGCUUUCUCGAGCGAGUGGCGAACGGGUGAGUAACGCGUGAGGAACCUGCCUCAAAGAGGGGGACAACAGUUGGAAACGACUGCUAAUACCGCAUAAGCCCACGACCCGGCAUCGGGUAGAGGGAAAAGGAGCAAUCCGCUUUGAGAUGGCCUCGCGUCCGAUUAGCUAGUUGGUGAGGUAACGGCCCACCAAGGCGACGUUCGGUAGCCGGGCUGAGAGGUUGAACGGCCACAUUGGGACUGAGACACGGCCCAGAAUCGUACGGGAGGCAGCAGUGGGGAAUAUUGCACAAUGGGGGAAACCGUGAUGCAGCGACGUGGGGUGGAGGAAGAAGGUCUUCGGAUUGUAAUCUCCUGUUGGUGGGGAAGAUAAUGACGGUACUCAACAAGGAAGUGACGGCUAACUACGUG
This 466-nucleotide ribosomal RNA is filed under the name uncultured bacterium. RNAcentral describes it as "partial 16S ribosomal RNA". It matches the Rfam family "Bacterial small subunit ribosomal RNA", at positions 28 to 507 of the family's 1533-position model. The record is from RNAcentral.